UUCUUUGGGCCUCAAAUCCUUCUUUGCAACAAGAAGUAGAAACUUGCCUCUUAGGAGUUUCAUGAUAAUAAAAUUGCAUCAUUAAUUUAAGGCAUUUAUUAUUACAGUUUUAAAUGUAUGAUCAAUAAAUGGUAGCUAUUAGGCUUCUGGUUAAGAAAGUAGGUAAUUUCUUACGUGUUUGGAUCAUUAUGUGUUAAUAUUCUGAUUUCAUUCUUAAGAACUGCUCCCUAACCUCCAUCCUUUAACAAUUGCAGGUGUUUCUCAUUUGGUAUUGGAGAAGGUGCCUCCACCAGCCUAAUAAAAACCUUGCUCAGGUUUCUGGGGGUCCCCCCUCCCUCCCUCCCUCCCUUCCUUCCUUCUUCCCUUCGUUCCUUCCUCCUCUGCCAUCCUUAGAGCUGAUUUUCUUCUUUUAAUUCUGGCUAAGUUGUUUCCCUACAAUCAUGUUUCCUUUUACACCACUCAAGUCUUAUCUCUCCACUUACCUUGAUUUUUCUAUCCUCUGCUAGCUCUAACUUUCAGGAGCGCUGUAUAAUACUGAAGUCUCUGGAAUCUCUGUCUUGUAGCCUCAUCAUUGACCACCUUGCUGCAAAAUCCCUGCUCCAGACCAAAGAGCUCAUCCAAUGGCAAUGUUCUCCAUUCAUCGUCCUCCUGCACGUCUGCCUGUGAAGAAAUUUCUUCUUGUGUGACCGAAGAGUACCAGCACAAUGAUAUCAAUCCCUGACUAAGCACAUCCCAAGCUACUAGUCAUAAAUCAAGGAACGCUUGCUUCUCUGUCAGCAGACAGGCCUCCUGUGAGAAGGGAAACACACAUUCUUCCACCAGCAUCCACACACAAAUAUCCCAAGCAGGUGAUGUGGGCCUCAGUUUGCUUCUAUGAAUAUGGGGACUGAAGAACUAAUCAUCAAGACUCUACUGUUAUGACUUUUCCUACACAGGGGAUAAUCUGUUGAAAAUAUCCCAUUCUAGAAGAAAUAACAUAAUAAUUUACUAACACUUGUGAAAAGAUACAAGGAUUGUAAGGAUUGUAAGAUUCAGUUGGAACUAGACAUGGCUAAUGUUUCCUUUGAUGUAGUUACCAUGUCAAUAAAUCAAGGGAAACAAGAGGGAUGGUGUAUUUG
Molecule: long non-coding RNA, 1118 nt
Filed under: Oryctolagus cuniculus (rabbit)
Lineage: Eukaryota; Metazoa; Chordata; Mammalia; Lagomorpha; Leporidae
Description: lncRNA (ENSOCUG00000035325.1)
Source: RNAcentral